This 490-nucleotide ribosomal RNA is filed under the name uncultured bacterium. Its description in RNAcentral is "partial 16S ribosomal RNA". It matches the Rfam family "Bacterial small subunit ribosomal RNA", at positions 355 to 852 of the family's 1533-position model. The record is from RNAcentral.
UGGGGAAUAUUGCACAAUGGGCGAAAGCCUGAUGCAGCGGCGCCGCGUGAGGGAUGACGGCCUUCGGGUUGUAAACCUCUUUCAGCAGGGAAGAAGCGAAAGUGACGGUACCUGCAGAAGAAGCGCCGGCUAACUACGUGCCAGCAGCCGCGGUAAUACGUAGGGCGCAAGCGUUGUCCGGAAUUAUUGGGCGUAAAGAGCUCGUAGGCGGUUAGUCGCGUCUGCUGUGAAAACUCGAGGCUCAACCUCGGGCUUGCAGUGGGUACGGGCUGACUAGAGUGCGGUAGGGGUGACUGGAAUUCCUGGUGUAGCGGUGGAAUGCGCAGAUAUCAGGAGGAACACCGAUGGCGAAGGCAGGUCACUGGGCCGCAACUGACGCUGAGGAGCGAAAGCAUGGGGAGCGAGCAGGAUUAGAUAGCCCCUGGUAGUCCAUGCCCGUAAACGUUGGGCACUAGGUGUGGGGUCCAUUCCACGGAUUCCGUGCCGCAGC